Molecule: ribosomal RNA, 1166 nt
Filed under: Campylobacter jejuni
Lineage: Bacteria; Pseudomonadati; Campylobacterota; Epsilonproteobacteria; Campylobacterales; Campylobacteraceae
Description: bacterial SSU rRNA
Rfam family: Bacterial small subunit ribosomal RNA
Source: RNAcentral
AGCAGUAGGGAAUAUUGCGCAAUGGGGGAAACCCUGACGCAGCAACGCCGCGUGGAGGAUGACACUUUUCGGAGCGUAAACUCCUUUUCUUAGGGAAGAAUUCUGACGGUACCUAAGGAAUAAGCACCGGCUAACUCCGUGCCAGCAGCCGCGGUAAUACGGAGGGUGCAAGCGUUACUCGGAAUCACUGGGCGUAAAGGGCGCGUAGGCGGAUUAUCAAGUCUCUUGUGAAAUCUAAUGGCUUAACCAUUAAACUGCUUGGGAAACUGAUAGUCUAGAGUGAGGGAGAGGCAGAUGGAAUUGGUGGUGUAGGGGUAAAAUCCGUAGAUAUCACCAAGAAUACCCAUUGCGAAGGCGAUCUGCUGGAACUCAACUGACGCUAAGGCGCGAAAGCGUGGGGAGCAAACAGGAUUAGAUACCCUGGUAGUCCACGCCCUAAACGAUGUACACUAGUUGUUGGGGUGCUAGUCAUCUCAGUAAUGCAGCUAACGCAUUAAGUGUACCGCCUGGGGAGUACGGUCGCAAGAUUAAAACUCAAAGGAAUAGACGGGGACCCGCACAAGCGGUGGAGCAUGUGGUUUAAUUCGAAGAUACGCGAAGAACCUUACCUGGGCUUGAUAUCCUAAGAACCUUUUAGAGAUAAGAGGGUGCUAGCUUGCUAGAACUUAGAGACAGGUGCUGCACGGCUGUCGUCAGCUCGUGUCGUGAGAUGUUGGGUUAAGUCCCGCAACGAGCGCAACCCACGUAUUUAGUUGCUAACGGUUCGGCCGAGCACUCUAAAUAGACUGCCUUCGUAAGGAGGAGGAAGGUGUGGACGACGUCAAGUCAUCAUGGCCCUUAUGCCCAGGGCGACACACGUGCUACAAUGGCAUAUACAAUGAGACGCAAUACCGCGAGGUGGAGCAAAUCUAUAAAAUAUGUCCCAGUUCGGAUUGUUCUCUGCAACUCGAGAGCAUGAAGCCGGAAUCGCUAGUAAUCGUAGAUCAGCCAUGCUACGGUGAAUACGUUCCCGGGUCUUGUACUCACCGCCCGUCACACCAUGGGAGUUGAUUUCACUCGAAGCCGGAAUACUAAACUAGUUACCGUCCACAGUGGAAUCAGCGACUGGGGUGAAGUCGUAACAAGGUAACCGUAGGAGAACCUGCGGUUGGAUCACCUCCUUUCUA